GCAGGUGUUGGUACACACUGUGUCAUGCUGGUAGAAGUCAAUCUGACCUGAGUCCAUCAUUUUCCUGCAUAGAGGACAUAAGAGAAGAUUUGGGAGAAGGAGAAUGGGAUGAAGGCAGCAGACUAAACCCCAGAUGGACAGAGAACAAGUGCAAACACGAAGAUGGGUAGGAGGCAGCCUAUCUGAGCAUCACCCCUACCUGAGCAUCACCCCUCCCAAUCGGAUGGCCCUCUUCCAGUCCUUCAGCGUGGCUUUC
Salvelinus fontinalis (brook trout) is the source of this 256-nucleotide long non-coding RNA. RefSeq lists it as uncharacterized. The transcript has 3 exons. The record is from RefSeq and is a predicted model, not a curated record. NCBI's taxonomy places the organism in Eukaryota, Metazoa, Chordata, Actinopteri, Salmoniformes, Salmonidae.